AGCUGGUCCAAUGGUAGUGGGUUAUCAGAACUUAUUAACAUUAGUUUCACUAAAAUUGGUAUUCAACUCCCUACUGUUAAAUUUGGCUACAAA
RNAcentral lists this Y RNA (93 nucleotides) under Microcebus murinus (gray mouse lemur). RNAcentral describes it as "Y RNA (ENSMICG00000020881.3)". It matches the Rfam family "Y RNA". Rfam says of the family: Y RNAs are components of the Ro ribonucleoprotein particle (Ro RNP), in association with Ro60 and La proteins. The Y RNAs and Ro60 and La proteins are well conserved, but the function of the Ro RNP is not known. In humans the RNA component can be one of four small RNAs -- hY1, hY3, hY4 and hY5. Lineage: Eukaryota; Metazoa; Chordata; Mammalia; Primates; Cheirogaleidae. The record is from Rfam by way of RNAcentral.